AAUAUGGUCGACUGCAAACAGUUGUGGCAGUCGGGGUGCACUUACUGUAAGAGUCCCCGAGAGUAAUUUUACUCAGGUCGGGUAGUAUUAGCCUCGUAGGCAUAGGUGGUAACAUGUAUCUCAAUAGGGCGGGCCUGCUUGAGUUGCAUGCCAGUGGGGUCACUCUCAGUGAACCCACUGGGUGUAGUCCCCGAGACCGCUGUCGACUGCUUGCGUCGGCAGGGGUCUGAAGAACUUAGACUUUUAUUGUUGAAUUGUCUGAUUGUCUCUUGGUGUUGGCUGGCAGAAAACUUGUGAAAUGGGGACAGCAUAUGAGACUCUGAGGGCGGAGAAGAUUCAGUUUGCUGGUGAGCGGGAUGCGACACUGUUUGCAAUGGCUGGUAUGAAGGAGGUUCUGGCGGAACGAGAGAAGUCGUUGGAGCAGGCUCAUGAAGCGAACAAAGUGCUGACUGAGGAAGUUGGGAAGAUGGGGAAACAAAGGACUGCUCUGAUGGGACAAAUGGAUGUGCUGAACAAACGGUGCAGAGCGCAGGAGAAAUACGUCAGUGACUGGGCUCGGCAGAUGAUGACGCGUCUGGCUGGUAAGUCCUGCUUUUUCCGAGUGCUUGUGGUAUGUGCGUCACACUCGGCGCUUAUUGUUUGCUUGUCCUAUUG
This 654-nucleotide long non-coding RNA is filed under the name Hordeum vulgare. RNAcentral's name for it is "long non-coding RNA (HVUL_LNC011011)". Lineage: Eukaryota; Viridiplantae; Streptophyta; Magnoliopsida; Poales; Poaceae. The record is from RNAcentral.